GCUUGCUACAGGCUUAACACAUGCAAGUCGAGGGGCAUCAGGAAGAAAGCUUGCUUUCUUUGCUGGCGACCGGCGCACGGGUGAGUAACACGUAUCCAACCUGCCCUUUACUCGGGGAUAGCCUUUCGAAAGAAAGAUUAAUACCCGAUAGCAUAAUGAUUCCGCAUGGUUUCAUUAUUAAAGGAUUCCGGUAAAGGAUGGGGAUGCGUUCCAUUAGGUUGUUGGUGAGGUAAUGGCCCACCAAGCCUUCGAUGGAUAGGGGUUCUGAGAGGAAGGUCCCCCACAUUGGAACUGAGACACGGUCCAAACUCCUACGGGAGGCAGCAGUGAGGAAUAUUGGUCAAUGGGCGCUAGCCUGAACCAGCCAAGUAGCGUGAAGGAUGAAGGCUCUAUGGGUCGUAAACUUCUUUUAUAUAAGAAUAAAGUGCAGUAUGUAUACUGUUUUGUAUGUAUUAUAUGAAUAAGGAUCGGCUAACUCCGUGCCAGCAGCCGCGGUAAUACGGAGGAUCCGAGCGUUAUCCGGAUUUAUUGGGUUUAAAGGGAGCGUAGGUGGACUGGUAAGUCAGUUGUGAAAGUUUGCGGCUCAACCGUAAAAUUGCAGUUGAUACUGUCAGUCUUGAGUACAGUAGAGGUGGGCGGAAUUCGUGGUGUAGCGGUGAAAUGCUUAGAUAUCACGAAGAACUCCGAUUGCGAAGGCAGCUCACUGGACUGCAACUGACACUGAUGCUCGAAAGUGUGGGUAUCAAACAGGAUUAGAUACCCUGGUAGUCCACACAGUAAACGAUGAAUACUCGCUGUUUGCGAUAUACAGUAAGCGGCCAAGCGAAAGCAUUAAGUAUUCCACCUGGGGAGUACGCCGGCAACGGUGAAACUCAAAGGAAUUGACGGGGGCCCGCACAAGCGGAGGAACAUGUGGUUUAAUUCGAUGAUACGCGAGGAACCUUACCCGGGCUUAAAUUGCAGUGGAAUGAUGUGGAAACAUGUCAGUGAGCAAUCACCGCUGUGAAGGUGCUGCAUGGUUGUCGUCAGCUCGUGCCGUGAGGUGUUGGCUUAAGUCCCAUAACGAGCGCAACCCUUACCGUUAGUUGCUAGCAUGUAAUGAUGAGCACUCUAACGGGACUGCCGUCGUAAGAUGUGAGGAAGGUGGGGAUGACGUCAAAUCAGCACGGCCCUUACGUCCGGGGCUACACACGUGUUACAAUGGGGGGUACAGAAGGCAGCUACCUGGUGACAGGAUGCUAAUCCCAAAAGCCUCUCUCAGUUCGGAUCGAAGUCUGCAACCCGACUUCGUGAAGCUGGAUUCGCUAGUAAUCGCGCAUCAGCCAUGGCGCGGUGAAUACGUUCCCGGGCCUUGUACACACCGCCCGUCAAGCCAUGAAAGCCGGGGGUACCUGAAGUACGUAACCGCAAGGAGCGUCCUAGGGUAAAACUGGUAACUGGGGCUAAG
RNAcentral lists this ribosomal RNA (1447 nucleotides) under uncultured organism. RNAcentral describes it as "SSU rRNA". It matches the Rfam family "Bacterial small subunit ribosomal RNA". The record is from RNAcentral.